GUAAAUUCCAUAGUGUUAAAUAUGCAGUGUCAAAGUACAUUGACUCUUACAGAGUUAUUACUACAACAGUUGGAGUAAGAUACCGCCCAGUGUUGGUGAAAAAGUACGUUGUUAAAAGACGCAGUGUCAGACGUACUCUGGAAAGCUCCGCCCACCUACGACUCGUCUCAAACGGACCACACAUUUUCACGGCGCCAUUUUCUUCAUGUGGAAUGACUGCGGGAGCAUGCUGCUUAAAGCUAAACUUGGAGAUGUCCAAAAAUUUGUCAGAAUAACUGAGCCAAAUCUGAAAGACUUUUUGAUUGCAGCAUUUGCAAAGUUUGGUGUCCCAGCUGUAACAGAAGGUGUGAAAAUUGUUGACAGUUCAGGGACUGAAUUGGAUGAUGAUGUUUUUGAGGAUAUUAUAAAGGAU
Molecule: long non-coding RNA, 412 nt
Organism: Coregonus clupeaformis (lake whitefish)
Lineage: Eukaryota; Metazoa; Chordata; Actinopteri; Salmoniformes; Salmonidae
Exons: 3
Source: RefSeq, a predicted model, not a curated record